This 409-nucleotide ribosomal RNA is filed under the name uncultured bacterium. RNAcentral describes it as "bacterial SSU rRNA". It matches the Rfam family "Bacterial small subunit ribosomal RNA", at positions 92 to 518 of the family's 1533-position model. The record is from RNAcentral.
UGAGUGGCGGACGGGUGAGUAACGCGUGGGUAACCUGCCCUGUACAGGGGGAUAACAGUUAGAAAUGACUGCUAAUACCGCAUAAGCGCACAAUGGUAGCAUUACCAGGUGUGAAAAACUCCGGUGGGUACAGGAUGGGCCCGCGUCUGAUUAGCUGUUGCGGGGUAAGAGCCCACCAAGGCGACGAUCAGUAGCCGGUCUGAGAGGAUGAACGGCCACAUUGGAACUGAGACACGGUCCAAACUCCUACGGGAGGCAGCAGUGGGGAAUAUUGCACAAUGGGGGGAACCCUGAUGCCAGCAACGCCGCGUGGGUGAAGAAGUAUUUCGGUAUGUAAAGCCCUAUCAGCAGGGAAGAUAGUGACGGUACCUGACUAAGAAGCUCCGGCUAAAUACGUGCCAGCAGCCGC